CUUGGGCGACUGAGCCUGCUGGCGGCUGGCUGGGAGAGUCAGGGGGGGGACUGGAAGCGGUUGCAGCUGCUGCUUGCUUUCUUGGCUCAGCUUCUGCACGCAGCUGCUCAAACUGAAGCCGCCACCGCCUGUGCUGCAUCAUCCCCGUCUCUUUUCACCACCACCAUCAUCUCUUCUUGUUCUUCUUCUUCUCUUCUGUCUGUCACCGGCCACACUUCCUCUCCUCUCCUCCUCCGAUCCCUUCGCUUCUUCCACUACUGCUACUUGUUUGUGUGUGCAGCACAGCAGCGUUGUGUGCCUCUCUCCCCUCCUUUUCUCUCUCUCUCUCUCUCGUGUAGC
RNAcentral lists this unclassified non-coding RNA (339 nucleotides) under Zea mays. RNAcentral's name for it is "misc RNA Zm00001eb141170". Lineage: Eukaryota; Viridiplantae; Streptophyta; Magnoliopsida; Poales; Poaceae. The record is from RNAcentral.